GUACCUCCAUGAUACAUUUCUUUUCUUGGCGCCCCUCGGACAUCUGCCGCCCGGGACAAACUGUCCCUUUCGCCCCACCCUCUCGGCGGCACUGAUUUCCUGUAGGAUGCCUGUUAGAAAAACUGAAGAACUGAAAGAAGAAACUUUUAAACUUGAUGUUGGGAACUGUAGAAGUUACUGUUAUACAUAGUAUCAUAUCAAGGCUCCAGUUCUCUAUGCUUGUUAGUUAUAUGCAAGAUAUGGCAUAGUAUAGCACACUGCAUGUGUAAAAAUGGAUGAAAGCACUAAAGAAGCAAAACGAUACAAAUUAAAGAAGAAUUUUGUCAUGCGAUCACGGUUGCUAUAUGAGAACUACCGUAACAGAAUAUAUUUAUUGUCGAACAGUUUUGAAUCAAUUCAUUGUAUGAUGAUAGUUUUUUGUUGCUUAAAAAUAUUAUAAAAUUCAAA
Molecule: non-coding RNA, 447 nt
Organism: Hydra vulgaris (swiftwater hydra)
Lineage: Eukaryota; Metazoa; Cnidaria; Hydrozoa; Anthoathecata; Hydridae
Source: RefSeq, a predicted model, not a curated record